GAUGAAGAACGCAGCGAAAUGCGAUAAGUAAUGUGAAUUGCAGAAUUCAGUGAAUCAUCGAAUCUUUGAACGCACAUUGCGCCCGCGAGUAUUCUCGCGGGCAUGCCUGUCCGAGCGUCAUUUCAACCCUCAGGGCCCGCCUGCUUGCAGGCGCGGCGCUGGUGUUGGGGAUCGGCUACCCUGCCGUCCCCCAAAUACAGUGGCGGUCUCGCUGCAGCCUCCCCUGCGUAGUAGCAACACUCGCAUGCGGAGCGCGGCGCGGCCACGCCGUAAAACCCCCGACUUUCUGAACGUUGACCUCGGAUCAGGUAGGAAUACCCGCUGAACUUAAGCAUAUCAAUAAGCGGAGGA
Molecule: unclassified non-coding RNA, 351 nt
Filed under: soil metagenome
Description: partial contains 5.8S ribosomal RNA, internal transcribed spacer 2, and large subunit ribosomal RNA
Rfam family: 5.8S ribosomal RNA (bases 1-120)
Source: RNAcentral